Molecule: unclassified non-coding RNA, 75 nt
Filed under: Pseudomonas borbori
Lineage: Bacteria; Pseudomonadati; Pseudomonadota; Gammaproteobacteria; Pseudomonadales; Pseudomonadaceae
Source: RNAcentral
AGGAGCCGGAUGCGUGAAUUGCGCACGUCCGGAUCUGUGGGAGGCCGGCUCAGGUAACUGGCCGGUCGACCCGAC